This 479-nucleotide ribosomal RNA is filed under the name Temnogastrus granulatus. RNAcentral's name for it is "partial 16S ribosomal RNA". The record is from RNAcentral. Lineage: Eukaryota; Metazoa; Arthropoda; Insecta; Coleoptera; Curculionidae.
UCGAACAGACCUAAAUUUUUUAGCCCCUACACCAAAAUUUUAUUUUAAUCCAACAUCGAGGUCGCAAUCUCUCUUAUCGAUUUGAACUCUCCAAAAAAAUUACGCUGUUAUCCCUAAGGUAAUUUACUCUUAUAAUCUCAAACUAAGGAUCACAUUCUCAUAAAUAAAUGUUUAAAUAUAAAAAAAGUUUAUUAAAUUUUUUAAUCACCCCAACCAAAUUAAUCAUUAUAUAAAAAAUAAUUAAUUCUAAAAUUCCUUAUCUAAAUUUUAAUAAAACUCUAUAGGGUCUUCUCGUCUUUUAUUAAUAUUUAAGCUUUCUUACUUAAAAAUAAAGUUCUAAUAAAUUUAAAAAGAGACAGUUACUUUCCCAUCAAACCUUUCAUACCAGCUUUCAAUUAAAAAACUAAUGAUUAUGCUACCUUUGCACGGUCAAAUUACCGCGGCCAUUUAAUUACUCAUUGGGCAGGUCAGACCUUAAA